UACGGAGGGCGCAAGCGUUGUUCGGAAUUACUGGGCGUAAAGCGCGUGUAGGCGGCCAGGUAAGUCGGAUGUGAAAGCCCGGGGCCUAACCCCGGAACUGCACCCGAUACUGCCUGGCUGGAGUCCCGGAGAGGAUGGCGGAAUUUCCGGUGUAGAGGUGAAAUUCGUAGAUAUCGGAAGGAACACCAGUGGCGAAGGCGGCCAUCUGGACGGUGACUGACGCUGAGACGCGAAAGCGUGGGGAGCAAACAGG
This 253-nucleotide ribosomal RNA is filed under the name uncultured bacterium. RNAcentral describes it as "partial 16S ribosomal RNA". It matches the Rfam family "Bacterial small subunit ribosomal RNA", at positions 524 to 776 of the family's 1533-position model. The record is from RNAcentral.